Molecule: ribosomal RNA, 429 nt
Filed under: Chloroflexota bacterium
Lineage: Bacteria; Bacillati; Chloroflexota
Description: Chloroflexi bacterium partial 16S ribosomal RNA
Rfam family: Bacterial small subunit ribosomal RNA
Source: RNAcentral
UGGGGAAUAUUGCACAAUGGGCGCAAGCCUGAUGCAGCCAUGCCGCGUGUAUGAAGAAGGCCUUCGGGUUGUAAAGUACUUUCAGCGGGGAGGAAGGGAGUAAAGUUAAUACCUUUGCUCAUUGACGUUACCCGCAGAAGAAGCACCGGCUAACUCCGUGCCAGCAGCCGCGGUAAUACGGAGGGUGCAAGCGUUAAUCGGAAUUACUGGGCGUAAAGCGCACGCAGGCGGUUUGUUAAGUCAGAUGUGAAAUCCCCGGGCUCAACCUGGGAACUGCGUCGGAUACUGGAAAGCUUGAGUCUCGUAGAGGGGGGUAGAAUUCCAGGUGUAGCGGUGAAAUGCGUAGAGAUCUGGGGGAAUACCGGUGGCGAAGGCGGCCCCCUGAACGAAGACUGACGCUCAGGUGCGAAAGCGUGGGGAGCAAACAGG